GACGAACGCUGGCGGCGUGCUUAACACAUGCAAGUCGAACGGAAAGGCCCUGCUUUUGUGGGGUGCUCGAGUGGCGAACGGGUGAGUAACACGUGAGUAACCUGCCCUUGACUUUGGGAUAACUUCAGGAAACUGGGGCUAAUACCGGAUAGGAGCUCCUGCUGCAUGGUGGGGGUUGGAAAGUUUCGGCGGUUGGGGAUGGACUCGCGGCUUAUCAGCUUGUUGGUGGGGUAGUGGCUUACCAAGGCUUUGACGGGUAGCCGGCCUGAGAGGGUGACCGGCCACAUUGGGACUGAGAUACGGGCCAGACUCCUACGGGAGGCAGCAGUGGGGAAUAUUGCAGAAUGGGCGGAAGCCAGAUGCAGCAACGCCGCGUGCGGGAUGACGGCCUUCGGGUUGUAAACCGCUUUCGCCUGUGACGAAGCGUGAGUGACGGUAAUGGGUAAAGAAGCACCGGCUAAAUAAGAG
RNAcentral lists this ribosomal RNA (468 nucleotides) under uncultured bacterium. Its description in RNAcentral is "partial 16S ribosomal RNA". It matches the Rfam family "Bacterial small subunit ribosomal RNA", at positions 28 to 507 of the family's 1533-position model. The record is from RNAcentral.